This is a small nucleolar RNA of Cavia porcellus (domestic guinea pig), 128 nucleotides long. It matches the Rfam family "Small nucleolar RNA SNORA30/SNORA37 family". Rfam says of the family: The members of this family belong to the H/ACA class of snoRNAs that guide the sites of modification of uridines to pseudouridines. This family includes human ACA30 (SNORA30), ACA37 (SNORA37) and the mouse homolog MBI-26. The record is from Rfam. Lineage: Eukaryota; Metazoa; Chordata; Mammalia; Rodentia; Caviidae.
UUAGCACUUUCACAGGUCCACCCCUGGGCAGUGGGGCCAGGAUUUGGUAGCUGGUGCUGAGAGAAAACCUUGUUUGCAUCCUUGCCCUGGUAUUAUACCAUUGGCAGCUGUCAUUCAGUGGGACAGAC